UUGCUUUUCUUGACUUAGUGGCGAACGGGUGAGUAACGCGUGAGUAACCUGCCCUGGAGUGGGGGACAACAGUUGGAAACGACUGCUAAUACCGCAUGACGCAUAGGGAUCGCAUGAUUCUUAUGCCAAAGAUUUAUCGCUUCAAGAUGGCCUCGCGUCUGAUUAGCUAGUUGGCGGGGUAAUGGCCCACCAAGGCGAUGAUCAGUAGCCGGUCUGAGAGGAUGAACGGCCACAUUGGGACUGAGACACGGCCCAGACUCC
RNAcentral lists this ribosomal RNA (261 nucleotides) under uncultured Eubacteriales bacterium. RNAcentral's name for it is "uncultured Clostridiales bacterium partial 16S ribosomal RNA". It matches the Rfam family "Bacterial small subunit ribosomal RNA", at positions 78 to 339 of the family's 1533-position model. Lineage: Bacteria; Bacillati; Bacillota; Clostridia; Eubacteriales. The record is from RNAcentral.